Molecule: ribosomal RNA, 346 nt
Filed under: uncultured Rhodoferax sp.
Lineage: Bacteria; Pseudomonadati; Pseudomonadota; Betaproteobacteria; Burkholderiales; Comamonadaceae
Description: bacterial SSU rRNA
Rfam family: Bacterial small subunit ribosomal RNA
Source: RNAcentral
ACAGGUGGUGCAUGGUUGUCGUCAGCUCGUGUCGUGAGAUGUGGGUUAAGUCCCGCAACGAGCGCAACCCUUGUCAUUAGUUGCUACAUUCAGUUGGGCGACUCUAAUGAGACUGCCGGUGACAAGCCGGAGGAAGGUGGGGAUGACGUCAAGUCCUCAUGGCCCUUAUAGGUGGGGCUACACACGUCAUACAAUGGCUGGUACAAAGGGUUGCCAACCCGCGAGGGGGAGCCAAUCCCAUAAAGCCAGUCGUAGUCCGGAUCGUAGUCUGCAACUCGACUACGUGAAGUCGGAAUCGCUAGUAAUCGUGGAUCAGAAUGUCACGGUGAAUACGUUCCCGGGUCUU